GGCCCGCUGGCCUAAUGGUAAGGCGUCAGAUUUCGGUUCACCGAAUCAUCCCUCUGAAGAUUGUGCGUUCGAGCCGCACGUGGGUCG
RNAcentral lists this transfer RNA (87 nucleotides) under Schizothecium vesticola. It matches the Rfam family "tRNA". From Rfam's summary of the family: Transfer RNA (tRNA) molecules are approximately 80 nucleotides in length. Their secondary structure includes four short double-helical elements and three loops (D, anti-codon, and T loops). Lineage: Eukaryota; Fungi; Ascomycota; Sordariomycetes; Sordariales; Schizotheciaceae. The record is from Rfam by way of RNAcentral.